AGCGAACGCUGGCGGCAGGCCUAACACAUGCAAGUCGAACGCUCGUAGCAAUACGAGAGUGGCAGACGGGUGAGUAACGCGUGGGAACGUGCCCUUCGGUUCGGAAUAACCCGGGGAAACUCGGGCUAAUACCGAAUACGUCCGUAAGGAGAAAGAUUUAUCGCCGAAGGAUCGGCCCGCGUCGGAUUAGCUAGUUGGUGAGGUAACGGCUCACCAAGGCGAUGAUCCGUAGCUGGUCUGAGAGGACGAUCAGCCACACUGGGACUGAGACACGGCCCAGACUCCUACGGGUGGCAG
Molecule: ribosomal RNA, 297 nt
Filed under: uncultured Pseudomonadota bacterium
Lineage: Bacteria; Pseudomonadati; Pseudomonadota
Description: uncultured proteobacterium partial 16S ribosomal RNA
Rfam family: Bacterial small subunit ribosomal RNA
Source: RNAcentral